Molecule: non-coding RNA, 947 nt
Organism: Lonchura striata (white-rumped munia)
Lineage: Eukaryota; Metazoa; Chordata; Aves; Passeriformes; Estrildidae
Source: RefSeq, a predicted model, not a curated record
UCCUGGAUCCAGCCCAGUUCUGGUUUAGUUUUGGGAUUCCUGAGUCCAUCCCAGUCCUGGUUCAUUAUUUGUGAUUCCUGGGUUCAUCCCAUUCCUGGUUUAUUAUUUGGGGUUCCUGGGUACAUCCCAGUCCUGGUGUGUUUUUUGGGAUUACUGAGUCCAUCCCAGUCCUGGUUUAUUUUUUGGGGUUCCUGGCUCCAUCCCAGUCCUGGUUUAUUUGGGAUACCUGGAUCCAUCCCAUUCCUGGUUUAUUAUUUGGGAUUCCUGGCUCCAUCCCAGUCCUGGUUUAUUAUUUGGGAUUCCUGGAUCCAUCCCAGUCCUGGUUUAUUUUUUGGGGUUCCUGGCUCCAUCCCAGUCCUGGUUUAUUUGGGAUACCUGGAUCCAUCCCAUUCCUGGUUUAUUUUUGGGGUUCCUGGCUCCAUCCCCCACUGCCCCUGGGCAUUUUCCUGCUCUCCCAGCUCCAGGCAGGGAAUGAAUUCUCCCUGCAAUGAAAUCCCUGCAGUAUCCAGCCCUUGGGAAUGUUUGGGAUCUGCAAAGCCCAGGAUCCUGUCCCGGGAGAGGAGCAGGUCAGGGCAGAGGUGAAAACGUGAAAACACCCAAAAAUUCCCUUUAAUUUGGGGCAGGAUCAAACCCCUCCUCCCAAACCUGCUGGGAACAGAGGUGAAAAUGUGAAAAUACUCAAAAACUCCAUUUAAUUUGGGGCAGGAUGAAAUCCUUCCUCCCAAACCUGCUGAGAACGGAGGUGAAAAUGUGAAAAUACCCAAAAACUCCCUUUAAUUUGGGGCAGGAUGAAAUCCUUCCCACCCUUCCCCAAACCUGCUGAGAACACCUGCUCCGUGCUGCACGAAUUUGGGGUUUUUUUUGGGGUUUUUUGGGGUUUUUUUUUAAACUCCGGUCCUGCUUGUACAAAACCCCUUUUGCCAUUAAAAAAACGUGGAGAUUUCCAA